Molecule: ribosomal RNA, 473 nt
Filed under: uncultured bacterium
Lineage: Bacteria
Description: partial 16S ribosomal RNA
Rfam family: Bacterial small subunit ribosomal RNA
Source: RNAcentral
GAUGAACGCUAGCGGCAGGCCUAAUACAUGCAAGUCGAACGGGCGGUAGCAAUACCGCUAGUGGCGCACGGGUGCGUAACGCGUAACCAACCUGCCCAGAUCUGGGGGAUAGCCCGCCGAAAGGCGGAUUAAUACCGCAUAAACCCACAGUGUGGCAUCACAUAAUGGGUAAAGAUUUAUCGGAUCUGGAUGGGGUUGCGUAGCAUUAGCUAGUUGGCGGGGUAAUGGCCCACCAAGGCGACGAUGCUUAGGGGACCUGAGAGGGUGAUCCCCCACACUGGCACUGAGAUACGGGCCAGACUCCUACGGGAGGCAGCAGUAGGGAAUAUUGGGCAAUGGGCGAGAGCCUGACCCAGCCAUGCCGCGUGCCGGAUGAAGGCCUUCUGGGUUGUAAACGGCUUUUCUCAGGGAAGAAAACGGGGAUGCGUCCUCAACUGACGGUACCUGAGGAAUAAGCACCGGCUAACUCCGUG